Molecule: long non-coding RNA, 333 nt
Filed under: Homo sapiens (human)
Lineage: Eukaryota; Metazoa; Chordata; Mammalia; Primates; Hominidae
Description: HSALNT0148567
Source: RNAcentral
CAAAAGAUUGGAGCUGAAGACCUUAAGUGCUUGCUUUUUGCCCGUUGACCAGAUAAAUAGAACUAUCUGCAUUAUCUAUGCAGCAUGGGAUUUUUAUUAUUUUUACCUAAAGACGUCUCUUUUUGGUAAUAACAAACGUGUUUUUUAAAAAAGCCUGGUUUUUUUCAAUACGCCUUUAAAGGUUUUUAAAUUGUUUCAUAUCUGGUCAAGUUGAGAUUUUUAAGAACUUCAUUUUUAAUUUGUAAUAAAAGUUUACAACUUGAUUUUUUCAAAAAAGUCAACAAACUGCAAGCACCUGUUAAUAAAGGUCUUAAAUAAUUGUCAAAAAAAAAA